Molecule: ribosomal RNA, 323 nt
Filed under: uncultured eukaryote
Lineage: Eukaryota
Description: partial 18S ribosomal RNA
Rfam family: Eukaryotic small subunit ribosomal RNA
Source: RNAcentral
CCCUUAGAUGUUCUGGGCUGCACGCGUGCUACACUGAUAUUGCCAAUAUGUCAUUCUUAUCCGAAAUGGAUUGGGUAAUCAAGUAAUGAAAUUUCAUGCUUGGAAUCGGUAAUUGCAAUUUUAUCGUGAACGAGGAAUUCCUAGUAAGCACUAGUCAUCAGCUAAUGUUGAUUAUGUCCCUGCCCUUUGUACACACCGCCCGUCGCUACUACUGAUUGGGUGUUCAAGUGAGAUGGUUAGACCCUUGUUGCAUGGUUCAUUAUUGUGCUCCGAAAGGAAAAAGUUUCAAGCUUGAGUGUCUAGAGGAAGUAAAAGUCGUAACA